Molecule: long non-coding RNA, 347 nt
Organism: Daphnia carinata
Lineage: Eukaryota; Metazoa; Arthropoda; Branchiopoda; Diplostraca; Daphniidae
Exons: 3
Source: RefSeq, a predicted model, not a curated record
UUUCGAAUUAGAUGGCGUCGCACUGCAACUUUGUGAGACUUCACAUUAGGUGCGUUUUAGGCAAUUAACUCAUUGAAGACACCGUGCGAGAGGUGCUGAGAGAGAAAUAAAGCCGAGCAACUGUGAAACCGAAUGUCGUGCCGUUAUUUUCCUUUACAACUCUCAAAAGAGCCAAAGUUUUUCCAGGUUUUUUUUCCCAACGUCGUCAGAAAAGGAAGAAACCGUCAUCGCAGCCCAACGUGAACAUUCUCGUGACAUAGGCAGGCGAUCAAUGCACUUUCAGGAUCGAAUAUGGUAGUUUGUCUGGUGAAUCGACCGUCAUGUGUUUUGCAGAUUUUUCUGUGCUC